GAAUGAAGAACGCAGCGAAAUGCGAUAAGUAGUGUGAAUUGCAGAAUUCAGUGAAUCAUCGAAUCUUUGAACGCACAUUGCGCCCCUUGGUAUUCCAUGGGGCAUGCCUGUUCGAGCGUCAUUUGUACCUUCAAGCUCUGCUUGGUGUUGGGUGUUUGUCUCGCCUCUGCGUGUAGACUCGCCUCAAAACAAUUGGCAGCCGGCGUAUUGAUUUCGGAGCGCAGUACAUCUCGCGCUUUGCACUCAUAACGACGACGUCCAAAAGUACAUUUUUACACUCUUGACCUCGGAUCAGGUAGGGAUACCCGCUGAACUUAAGCAUAUCAAUAAGCGGAGGA
This 338-nucleotide unclassified non-coding RNA is filed under the name soil metagenome. RNAcentral describes it as "partial contains 5.8S ribosomal RNA, internal transcribed spacer 2, and large subunit ribosomal RNA". The stretch from base 3 to 121 matches the Rfam family "5.8S ribosomal RNA", at positions 36 to 154 of the family's 154-position model. The record is from RNAcentral.